This 459-nucleotide ribosomal RNA is filed under the name uncultured Sphingobacteriales bacterium. RNAcentral describes it as "bacterial SSU rRNA". It matches the Rfam family "Bacterial small subunit ribosomal RNA", at positions 920 to 1382 of the family's 1533-position model. Lineage: Bacteria; Pseudomonadati; Bacteroidota; Sphingobacteriia; Sphingobacteriales. The record is from RNAcentral.
CCCGCACAAGCGGUGGAGCAUGUGGUUUAAUUCGAUGAUACGCGAGGAACCUUACCUGGGCUCAAAUGUAUGUUGACGUAUUCUGAAAGGGAUACUUCUUCGGACAAUAUACAAGGUGCUGCAUGGUUGUCGUCAGCUCGUGCCGUGAGGUGUCGGGUUAAGUCCCAUAACGAGCGCAACCCCUAUCAUUAGUUGCCAUCAGGUCAAGCUGGGGACUCUAAUGAAACUGCCUACGCAAGUAGUGAGGAAGGUGGGGAUGACGUCAAAUCAGCACGGCCCUUACGUCCAGGGCUACACACGUGCUACAAUGGCCGGUACAAAGGGCAGCUACCUGGUGACAGGAUGCUAAUCUCAAAAGCCGGUCUCAGUUCGGAUCGGAGUCUGCAACUCGACUCCAUGAAGUUGGAAUCGCUAGUAAUCGUGGAUCAGCAUGCCACGGUGAAUACGUUCCCGGGCCUU